GUGGGGAAUAUUGGGCAAUGGGCGAAAGCCUGACCCAGCAACGCCGCGUGAAGGAAGAAGGUCUUCGGAUUGUAAACUUUUGUCUUAUGGGACGAUAAUGACGGUACCAUAGGAGGAAGCCACGACUAACUACGUGCCAGCAGUCGCGGUAAUACGUAGGUGGCAAGCGUUAUCCGGAAUUAUUGGGUGUAAAGGGUGCGUAGGCGGGAUGUAAAGUCAGAUGUGAAAUACCGCAGCUUAACUGCGGAGCUGCAUUUGAAACUUACGUUCUUGAGUGAAGUAGAGGUAAGCGGAAUUCCUAGUGUAGCGGUGAAAUGCGUAGAUAUUAGGAGGAACACCGGUGGCGAAGGCGGCUUACUGGGCUUAUACUGACGCUGAGGCACGAAAGUGUGGGGAGCAAACAGGAUUAGAUACCCUAGUAGUCC
RNAcentral lists this ribosomal RNA (425 nucleotides) under uncultured bacterium. RNAcentral's name for it is "bacterial SSU rRNA". It matches the Rfam family "Bacterial small subunit ribosomal RNA", at positions 354 to 796 of the family's 1533-position model. The record is from RNAcentral.